CCUACGGGUGGCUGCAGUGGGGAAUAUUGCACAAUGGGGGAAACCCUGAUGCAGCCAUGCCGCGUGUAUGAAGAAGGCCUUCGGGUUGUAAAGCACUUUCAGCGAGGAGGCAAGGUUGGUAGCUAAUAACUGCCAGCUGUGACGUUACUCGCAGAAGAAGCACCGGCUAACUCCGUGCCAGCAGCCGCGGUAAUACGGAGGGUGCAAGCGUUAAUCGGAAUUACUGGGCGUAAAGCGCACGCAGGCGGUCUGUCAAGUCGGAUGUGAAAUCCCCGGGCUCAACCUGGGAACUGCAUUCGAAACUGGCAGGCUAGAGUCUUGUAGAGGGGGGUAGAAUUCCAGGUGUAGCGGUGAAAUGCGUAGAGAUCUGGAGGAAUACCGGUGGCGAAGGCGGCCCCCUGGACAAAGACUGACGCUCAGGUGCGAAAGCGUGGGGGGCAAACAGGAUUAGAUGCCCUGGUAGUC
RNAcentral lists this ribosomal RNA (465 nucleotides) under Bacillus subtilis. Its description in RNAcentral is "bacterial SSU rRNA". It matches the Rfam family "Bacterial small subunit ribosomal RNA", at positions 338 to 795 of the family's 1533-position model. Lineage: Bacteria; Bacillati; Bacillota; Bacilli; Caryophanales; Bacillaceae. The record is from RNAcentral.